Molecule: ribosomal RNA, 1326 nt
Filed under: Eubostrichus dianae epibacterium 2_25
Lineage: Bacteria; Pseudomonadati; Pseudomonadota; Gammaproteobacteria
Description: bacterial SSU rRNA
Rfam family: Bacterial small subunit ribosomal RNA
Source: RNAcentral
CUGGNAUAACAGUUCNAAAGGGCAGCUAAUACCGNNUAAAGUAUGUUUAUGUAAGUGNANUAUAUGAAAGGUGGCCUCUGNUUGNAAGCCAUUGUUUGGAGAUGAGUCUCGGUACCAUUAGCUGUUUGGAGAGGUAACGGCUUACCAAGGCGACGAUGGUUAGCUGGUCUGAGAGGAUGAUCAGCCACACUGGAACUGGAACACGGUCCAGACUCCUACGGGAGGCAGCAGUGAGGGAUUUUGCGCAAUGGGGGGAACCCUGACGCAGCAACGCCGCGUGAGUGAAGAAGGCCUUUGGGUCGUAAAGCUCUUUCAGUUGGGAAGAAAUACCUUGGGUUAAUACCCCAGGGCCUUNNCGUUACCAACAGAAGAAGCACCGGCAGGCUCCGUGCCAGCAGCNGCGGUAAUACGGAGGGUGCGAGNGUUAAUCGGAAUCACUGGGCGUAAAGCGCGCGUAGGCGGCCGGACAAGUCAGAUGUGAAAGCCCCGGGCUCAACCUGGAAUUGCAUUUGAUACUGUCCGGCUUGAGUACGGGAGAGGAAAGCGGAAUUCCUGGUGUAGAGGUGAAAUUCGUAGAUAUCAGGAGGAAUACCGAUGGCGAAGGCAGCUUNCUGGACCGAUACUGACGCUGAGGUGCGGAGGCGUGGGUAGCGAACAGGAUUAGAUACCCUGGUAGUCCACGCAGUAAACGAUGUUCACUAGGUGUAGGGCGUAUUAAAACGUCCUGUGCCGGCAUGAACGCAUUAAGUGAACCGCCUGGGGAGUACGGUCGUAAGAUUAAAACUCAAAGGAAUUGACGGGGGCCNGCACAAGCGGUGGAGCAUGUGGUUUAAUUCGACGCAACGCGAAGAACCUUACCUGGGUUUGACAUCCUGUGGAUCUAAUAGAGAUAUUGGAGUGCUUCGGGAGCGCAGUGACAGGUGCUGCAUGGCUGUCGUCAGCUCAUAUCGUGAGAUGUUGGGUUAAGUCCCGUAACGAGCGCAACCCUGUCCUUAGUUGCCACGGUUCGGCCGGGAACUCUAAGGAGACUGCCGGUGAUAAACCGGAGGAAGGUGGGGAUGACGUCAAGUCAUCAUGGCCCUUGUGGGCUGGGCUACACACGUGCUACAAUGGACGGCACAAAGGGUUGCGAAGCGGCGACGUGGAGCCAAUCCCCGUUCGUAGUCCGGAUUGCAGUCUGCUACUCGACUGCAUGAAGUCGGAAUCGCUAGUAAUCGCAGAUCAGAACGCUGCGGUGAAUACGUUCCCGGGCCUUGUACACACCGCCCGUCACACCAUGGGAGUUGGUUGCACCAGAAGUAGGUAGCUUAACCUUCGGGAGGGCGC